RNAcentral lists this ribosomal RNA (465 nucleotides) under Vreelandella stevensii. RNAcentral describes it as "partial 16S ribosomal RNA". It matches the Rfam family "Bacterial small subunit ribosomal RNA", at positions 338 to 795 of the family's 1533-position model. Lineage: Bacteria; Pseudomonadati; Pseudomonadota; Gammaproteobacteria; Oceanospirillales; Halomonadaceae. The record is from RNAcentral.
CCUACGUGGGGCUGCAGUGGGGAAUAUUGGACAAUGGGCGAAAGCCUGAUCCAGCCAUGCCGCGUGUGUGAAGAAGGCCUUCGGGGUGUAAAGCACUUUCAGUGGGGAAGAAAGCCUUGGGGCUAAUACCCUCGAGGAAGGACAUCACCCACAGAAGAAGCACCGGCUAACUCCGUGCCAGCAGCCGCGGUAAUACGGAGGGUGCGAGCGUUAAUCGGAAUUACUGGGCGUAAAGCGCGCGUAGGCGGUCUGAUAAGCCGGUUGGGAAAGCCCCGGGCUCAACCUGGGAACGGCAUCCGGAACUGUCAGGCUAGAGUGCAGGAGAGGAAGGUAGAAUUCCCGGUGUAGCGGUGAAAUGCGUAGAGAUCGGGAGGAAUACCAGUGGCGAAGGCGGCCUUCUGGACUGACACUGACGCUGAGGUGCGAAAGCGUGGGUAGCAAACAGGAUUAGAUACCCUAGUAGUC